CCUACGGGUGACAGCAGUGAGGAAUAUUGGUCAAUGGGAGAGAUCCUGAACCAGCCAAGCCGCGUGAGGGAAGACGGCCCUAUGGGCUGUAAACCCCUUUUGUCGGAGAACAAAACCCGGGACGUGUCCCGGCCUGCGUGUAUCCGAAGAAAAAGCAUCGGCUAACUCCGUGCCAGCAGCCGCGGUAAUACGGAGGAUGCGAGCGUUAUCCGGAUUUAUUGGGUUUAAAGGGUGCGUAGGCGGUCCGUUAAGUCAGCGGUAAAAUGGCGGGGCUCAACCCCGUCGAGCCGUUGAAACUGGCAGACUUGAGUGUGCGAGAAGUACGCGGAAUGCGCGGUGUAGCGGUGAAAUGCAUAGAUAUCGCGCAGAACUCCGAUUGCGAAGGCAGCGUACCGGCGCCAGACUGACGCUGAGGCACGAAAGCGUGGGGAUCGAACAGGAUUAGAUACCCGAGUAGUC
This 459-nucleotide ribosomal RNA is filed under the name uncultured bacterium. RNAcentral's name for it is "partial 16S ribosomal RNA". It matches the Rfam family "Bacterial small subunit ribosomal RNA", at positions 338 to 795 of the family's 1533-position model. The record is from RNAcentral.